Molecule: long non-coding RNA, 8674 nt
Filed under: Nicotiana tabacum (common tobacco)
Lineage: Eukaryota; Viridiplantae; Streptophyta; Magnoliopsida; Solanales; Solanaceae
Description: long non-coding RNA (NTAB_LNC007130)
Source: RNAcentral
AUUAUAGCAUGUGACUUCUACGUAAUCUUCUCCAGAGAAAGGACAUUCUUCUGGACUAAUCUAUAAUUCGUCCUUGGCAUCAGAAUCAUCUUUGGCAGCAGCUUCUUUGUCAUCAGUUUCAGCUUCAGGUUCCUCAAUAUCCUCUUCUUCCUCAACUGCUGCAUCAGGGCUGACAUUUAAACUGCUCUUAACUGAGCUGUAGAUGCGGGAGGCAAAAUCCUUUGGGUCAUUGAGCAGGAAACCGCUCUCCAGUAAUGCUGUUUGGUACAUUAGCUGAGCCGUUUGCUCCACGCUCUCAUCCUGUGAACCAAGUACAAGCAAUUACUAACAGUUAGCCAUUUCUACAACAUAUCAUUUGAUCACAUAUAUAGAGAUUUAGUCCAAGUGUACCUCAGGGUCCUUUGCUACUCUGUCCCGAAGCUCCUUGAUAAUUGGGUGCCUAGGGUUGAUCUCAAGCACCCUUUUCCCCCGCAUAUACGCCUGCUUGCUUGCAUCUGACAGAGUUUGUGACUGCAUGAUUCUUUCCAUAUUGGCACUCCAACCAUACUUCGAUGUCACAACUACACAAGGGGUGUCGGCCAAACGGUUGCUAAUCUUGACAUCGUCUAUAUUGUCACUAGCAAGAGCACCCUUCCACCAUUUGGUUAGCUCCUUAAAUGACUCCUUGAGCUCUUUGGCUUUUGAAUCCUUGCCCAGUUUCAGGCCCUCUUUGGACACAUUUUGGAACUUAUUGUCUUCAUAAUCCAUCAGGUACUGCAUCAGGUAUUCAUCUACAGGGUCCGUGAAGAAAAUUACCUAAACAAUGAAACAAGGGAAACAUAGCAAAUGAAUCUUUAGAGCAGACAUGAUAAAUGCAUUGAUAAGAGAAUUCAAAUAUCAAAGACAAGGAACAUAGUCAAACUCACAACGCAAGAAAAGAUGACUCGUACUUUCUGUUAAAAUAAACUACUACUAGUUAUUUUGUUAUGCCGCUUUCCCAUGCGAUCUUAAGAAAGACUCAUACCUCAUAAUUUUUCUUCGUUAGCCUCUCAAGGAAUGGUGAUUUCUCCAACUGCUCUUUGCUAGCUCCAGUUAUAUAGAAGAUAUCCUUCUGUCCAGCCUUCAUCCUUGAGAUGUACUGAUCUAGGGAAGUUAGUUUACCAUCUGAUUUUGAGCUGUAAACGAGAAAAUAUUAAGACGACAAGGGAUCAGUCACCCUGAUUUGACUUAACAAUCUCACUAAGAAUAAUACUCUUAAGACACAGAGCAUACGUCUCAAAUCGGAGGAGCUUAGCCAAGCGGUUUCUGUUAGUUGCAUCUUCUAUGAUACCAAGUUUUACUGACUUUCCAAAUUCAUUCCAAAACUUUGUGUAUUGACCUUUCUUCUCGUUGUCUGCACUGGAUUCUUCGACAUCUGUAACGUCAGGAGAAACUCAGAAAUGAGAAAUUCAAUCUCUUAGGCAAUGGAUUGUUCAGAGAUAUAAACUACCUUUCUUGUCCUUGUCGUUAGAUUCAUCAGGAUCCUCAUCAGCAAUCUUGCGUAUCAUGUCAAGGGCCUUGCGGAUGAGUUUCUUCUUAAUUGUCUUCAAGCUGCUGUGCUGCUGAAGCAUUUCUCUUGAGACAUUGAGGGGUAAGGUGUCAGAAUCAACAAGACCCUAGCAUAACGUCAAACAAAAUGGUGUUAGAAACUCUUGGCCCAUACGUAAUAUAAACAGGGAAGUUCUAGAGUAACAAGAACUACCAUUAGGAAACUCAAGUACUUGGGCAACAAUUCGUCAAAUUCAUCAGAGAUAAAGACCCGUCUGACAUAUAACUUCAAGUUGGAUUUCUUGGAGUUGUAGUAGCUUUCAUAUAAAUCUUGAGGAGCCUUAGGAGGGACAAAUAGUACAGCCUUGAACUCAACAUCACCUUCAGCAUUAAAGUGACUCCAAGCAAGGGGCUUCUCAUCACUGAAGUCCUGGCAAAAUAAUACAAGAAUUUAGCAAAUGGUAAGAGAGUUCACAAAAGGUUUCUACUCUUCCCACUGCAUUUCAACUGGAAGAAAGUAAGCAAGUAGCAAUUUACCUUUGCAAGUGAGUGAUAGAAUUUCGUAUACUCUUCCUCUGUCACCUCCUUUGGAUUCCGAAGCCAUAUAGCUUUCACAUCGUUCAAAAGCUCCCACUCAUAAGUGGUUUCCUUCACUUUCUUAGUUUUAGGCUUUUUCUCAUCUUCUGGCUUCUCAGAAUCAUCUUCAUCUCCUUCUUCAGAAGAGCUGGUUUCAGCUGUUCACAACAUUGAAAGACUAUGAGGUCGCAUAAGAUUAAAAGACAAGGAGGGGGUAAACUUCAAUUCAUCUAGCAAACUCCACCCCCCAAACCCAAACAAUUUCUCCGAGCAGGAAACAGGUCUUAAAAUAUGCAUUAAACACAUUCACUACAAGUUCCAACUUCAUUAACACUGAAUAAACUUGGCAAGCCAGGUAGGAUGAAUCACACAUACAUGUUUCCUCUUCAUCAGUUGACUCGUCUUCAUCAACAGGAACCUCCUUCUCAACCUCUUUGCUUGCCCAAAGAUUUAUAGGGAAGUUGAUGAAUUCAGAGUAUUUCUUCACCAGGUCCUGCGUACAAGGUAACCCAUGCAUUAAGCAAUGUAGAGAACCUCAACAGAAGCUUCAGAAACAUAAUAUUAUUUCAGAAACAUAAAGUAUGUCCAUAGAAACUCUUAUUUUCAAUUUAAUUUGGUAGCUUGAACUGGAAAAUAAUCAAAUUCAGAGUAGAGAAUAUUCAGGAUGGAUGCUGAUGACAAGUACCAAAAUGUAAGAAUCUAAAAACUUAGCCAGCAGAAAAACAGGUUUGGCUUCUUUUUUUUUCUAACUCAAAAAAUUUAUCUUACCUCCACACAGACACACAAGCAAAAGAUUGGAUAUGCAAAAACAGAAACAGCCCAAAUAUCAGACUUUUACUUUUAGCUAGCAAUUCAUCCAUAAGCUUAAUCAUCUUAUUCUCAACAACUGUAAUACAAGACUUAUGGAAUAUCAAGCAAUUGGUCCUGUUGUUUCUUCUCUUAGAUUGCACCCUUUCAAUCAAAGGUCCAAAUAAUAAAAUAAUCCUAAGGGAGCAGAAAAACUCAUAACAAAUCAAACAAAAGGGGGAGCAGAAAAAUUCAUAUAAGAAAACAACCUGGUACUAGCUUCAAAACAAUGGGUCACAAAGGUUUGCAGCCCUUUACUGCCCUGGUCUUCGUUAUGUUCCUCAAUUUUGGAGAGUAUUUACUUCUAAUAAGCAGUAGAAUAUAAUCUAGUGGAUGAUGUGCGGGUUCAGUGAAGGAAGUGCUACAUAGUUGGGCUCAUAGAAGUGGGAAGAGAAGUCUAAGGGCAUGGAGUGUUGCCCCCUUAGCAAUCAUGUUGGGUUAUUUGGAAAGAGAUAAUUAGAAGGGCGCUUGAAGGAGUGGAACAAGAGUUUAUAAAAUUGCAAAGUAGUCUUUUGUUAAGGUUGUUUAUUUCAGCAUUAAAGUAUAUUAUGACCUACUGUGCAAAAACCACUGUCAGAAUGGAAAACAAAAUUACUCUAAAUGACUGGUUAACUAUUAAAAGUUUUGGCAUGCACCAACUCAUGAUAUAUGAAAAGAGUCUCCUUGGGACGUAUCGGUCACACACACCUUUAGUUUGUACUCGUCCAAAUAUUCUCCUGCUUCAUCUCUAAGGUGCAAUCUAAUUUCAGUUCCACGACCAAGAGGUUCAUUCCAUACAUCUUCAGAAAUGGCAAAUGCACCAUCAGCCUUAGACUCCCAGACAUAUCUGAAUGCAGAUAUUUGUUAAAUCACUAAUAAAAUUCCCAAUACAUCAAUAGUCAUUAAUCAACACAUUCACACAAGAACGUACUGUUUGUCAUCGUUAUGCUUGCUGAUGACCUCAACAUAGUCAGCUACAAGAUAGACCGAGUAAAACCCAACACCAAAUUGUCCAAUCAGAUUAAGGUCUCCACUUGUCUGCAUCUUCUCAACAAAGGCUGUUGAGCAAUAACAAGUUAGUGAACAGUAAAGAGAACUCCAAGAACACCGCCAAUCUCAUAUCCACCAGAUAGAUUACCUGAAGUUCCAGAUUUAGCUAUAGUUCCCAAGUUCUUUAUUAAAUCCUCCUUGGUCAUUCCUAUACCUCUGUCACGAAUGGAAAGAAUUUUCUUUUCUUUAUCCAGUUUAAUCUGCAAUAAACAAUACAAUCAUCAGAACAGCUUUUAAAAGAGCAACCUCCUCGUACUAGCAACCAACAGAGUCUACACAAACAACGGACACAAAUCACCAACCUGGAUCUCAAGCUUAGUGUUAUCACCUUCCCCAAGUACCUCCUUGUCAGUAAGUGACAGGAACCUAAUCUUGUCCAGCGCCUGAAUUUAACAGGAUAUUAACUUAGAAGAAAUCAUUUGCAUAUAAUGUCGAACAUCACCAGAGACUUUAAAAGUGUGCUUACAUCCGAUGCAUUCGAGAUCAGCUCCCUCAAGAAGAUGUCCUUGUUACUGUAAAGGGAGUUGAUAAUGAUGUCCAUAAGCCGAGAGACCUCAGCUUGGAACUCAAAUUUCUCUGCAUCAGCUCGGAGAGUUUUCCUAGACAUAGACUCCGAUUCCCUAUAAUGAUAUAGUGCUCAGUACAAUGAAGAUACAAAGAAGUUGAAGGCAAGGAAUCAGGGCGAAACAAACUAAAUGAAUCGACAAUUCGGAAACCUUUUAACGACAUCAGAAUCAGUGGAUAAACCAUGUGGAACAGCACCAAACUUUUCCUCAACCUUUGGCGGAUCAACAGGGGCAUCAGAUUCAGCUUCCGCAUUUGCUUGAAUCCUCCGACCUAUUGAGUAAAAAAAUCAUGUUUCAGAAUAAAGCAGUAAUGUCCGUACUCCACUAAGCAAUUCAAUCAAUCAAUCAACUAUGUAACUCCUUAAAUAAUUACGGCAGCAAAUUUUCAAGGCAGCACCAGACCAAAAAUGCCUCACAAACUUCAAAGCUAAGGCAAAUAUUACUGCCCAAUGCUCGAUCCACAGUAUUAGUUCAUCAUCUAACUAAACUAUUUAAAAUCUUACAUACAUAUAACAAGAAAAUUCCAUGAGAUCUCAAAACAAAUAGUUUACCUUGAUCUGGAAGAAGGAAAAGAAGACAUAACAGAAACAGGACCGAAGGGAUCGUCCACUUCCUCAUUUGUAUUGGAUUUCACUCUCAGACCUCAGCGGCUUUUGAAAUUUGGCUUCUAAGUAGCGCCAUUUCCAGUGAGCGACUAUAUAUAGUGAGCUCGUGCCGUCUCCGUCUGUGUCACGAGUUCGAUACCCACGACUAGGAGAUCCAUUUUCCUAAUUUUUUGCCAGCGUGGACGAUCGAACGGUUAUGAUGUGUGAUAGUAUACGUGGCGUGGUUUUAUUGGUUUCCGUCGCCUCUUGAGACGUGGAGAAAACCUUUGUUCUAUAAGUCGACGCGAACGACGACCUGGUUUCUAUCUUCUGCGCUGAGGUCCAUGGAAUAGAUCAGUUGGAAUUACUUACCGUAGCAGCUACGUCUGAGAACCACGUGUUCUUCUUUCAUUGGCAAGUACAAAAGGUGUAAGGUGAGUGGUGACCAUACAUUAUGCAGCGAAUUCAGGUCAAUAUUCGUGAUUAUGAACUAAUGUUAAUAAUUUGCGAUUUUUUAACUUCGACCAUUCCUUGUGUUAAACCAUAGGUUUUGAAAAUAUUUUUUAACUAGAGUUAAGUUCAAUGCAUAAUUGUCUAAAACUAUUUACAGAAUGACUUACAAAAUAAUUAUCUGUUACAAGCAUUCAUUAAUAUCUCGAUAAACAUGAUAACUAACUUACUAUAAUAGGUUAAACUAUACUGAUAAAAGAAAUAUUUAUACUAUCAAAUUAACUUAGAUCCUUUUAAAUAUUCUACUUAUCAUGAUACUGAUCCGUCUAUUGAUUUUUCAUAAUUAAAGAGUAGAGUCAUUUAUUAUUCUUUCUUUUGCAUGAAUUCAAUCAAAAGAUGGAAGAAAUGUAGAAUCACGUAGCGGACUUAUGAUCUGGUUAUCUUGGUUGCAUGAUAAUCGAGAAUAUUAAUAGAACAUGAUAAAGACAAGACACAUUCUUCUAAAUUUCUAUGAUGUAAAUGAGAGUUUACAAUUACGUAAGUUCUUUGUGGUAGCAAUAAUCUAGACGAGAAGCAAUAAAUUUUGUCUAUUAUUGUUUCUACUGCUAACAACAUUUGGUUCGGUUAAGGCAUUAAUUACGUUUCAUUUGCUAAACUCACGAAGCAGGGGCGGCCCUUCCCUAAAGCAAGUAAAGUAAUUGCUUUAGGCUCCAUAUUUGUGGGGGUGGAUAUUUUUUGUUACAUCUAAUAGGCUAUAUACAAGUUUUUAAAAAGUUAUGUGAAGUAAAAAUAUUUGAUUUCUUUCUAUAAUAAAUACUCCCUCUGUUCCAGUUUACGUGAACCUAUUUCCUUUUUAGUCUGUUCCAAAAAGAAUGACCCCUUUCUAAAUUUGAUAACAAUUUAGCUUAAACUUAUAAUUCUACCCUUAAUGAGAAACUUUUAUAACCACACAAAUACUAUGGGCCCCUUUUUGACUUGUUUAGGACCAUAAAUUUCAAAAGUCUUCAUUUUUUCUUAAACUCUGUACCCAGUCAAACAGGUUCACAUAAAUUAAAAUGGAGGGAGUAUAGAGAAGAAGGAUUUACAAUUGAUAUGAUUUCUGCCUAGGAAAUUAUAGUUGAAAUAAAUAUAUAAUCUAAAUUUCGUGGGAAACUUGUGAUAUAUAGAAAAAAAUAAUUUGAUGAGAAUAUUGAUUGUGAAAUCUCAUGUUCUCUUGAAGAGUCCUUUAGAGUUGAUUAUUUUAUAUACAUAGUAUUCACUUCAAAAUAGAUUUAAACAAUUCGAAACAUAUGAAAAUAUUUUUGAUUUUAUAUUUAGCGGUAAAAAACUGAGAUCACUAUAUAAUGGAAAGAGAGUUUAAAUGUAUUAGGUAUAUUGUCAAUUAUUAUGAGAAACUGAUUAUAAGAAAAUUAUUAAUAAUUUUACAUCUAAAAAAACUAAAAAAAUAGACUUCAAAUAAAAAGUUUUUUGAAAAAAGAAGUUAAAGCCCAUUAUAAUUUAGCUUCAAGCCACAAAAUUUGGGGAGAAAUUCAAAAAUAUCCAGAUUUACAACUGGUCAUUCAAAAAUAGCUCAGUUUCAAAAGUAAUCAAAAUUUAGCCAAUUUUCAUGUAAACAUAAAUCUGAGCGAAAACACUGUUCAAAACCCGAAAAAUACGCCAGUAUAUUAUACUGGAGUUCCAACAAAAAUAUGCUUGAACUCCAGCAUAUUAUACUGGAGUUCCAGCAUAAGUACACUAGAACUCCAGCAUAAUAUACUGGAGUUCCGGCAAGGAUAAUUGUCCAGUAUAAUAUACUGGAGUUUGGAGCACUGGUGCUCCAGUCUCCAGUAUAUUAUACUGGAGUCAGCAAAGUAUACCGGUCCAGCAUAACAUGCUGGAGUUCAUACACAGGUGCACCGAACUCCAGUAUAUUAUGCUGGAUCGAUCUCUGUUGCAGCAAAAUAGUGGCUAUUUUUCAUUGACUUCGUAAAUGCUGGCUAUUUUUGAAUGAUCACUCCGAACACUGGCUAUACCGUGCUAUUUUUACCAAAAUUUGUCGGGCUGUCCCAGGAAGUAGUAUAUGAAGGUGCAUUUUUGCAUAUCUGGUACAUUCGUAGGAAAAGAUUCUUUUAUUCAUUUAUAGAGUCAUGUAAAAAUGAUUUAAAUGUAACUGUUAUAUGAAUUUACUAAUAAUUGACGUAUCCCCUAUGAAGCUGAAAUUUCUUUAUGCUUUCUCGCUUUUAAGUUCCUCAUAGGGACAAAAUAAGUAUGGGGCUAACUGCUAUACAACAAGGUAAGUCUGGAUUGACUAUUUUCAAAGGUAACCCCUCUUGUAGAUUUGGAAAAUCUCUAGUAACCUACAUCCACGCAAUAAAAGAUUUCUCCUGGAUAUUCAAUUAUCACAUUGCGAAUCAUCUUGCAUCGCAUGAGGUUAUACAUAUUAAAUUUGGUCAUAAUAAUUGUAUGAUAUGGCACUUCUGAGAUAAAAUUCAUUGAUGAUUCCGAGGCAUACAAAAACACAUUUUUGUUCCAAUUCAAAAUUACUAGCACGCCAUGAAACUUUCAAUAGACCUGCAAUCAUACUGAUUUUAGGUAGCAAAAUCUAAACCAGCAAAGAGGUCCUCCAUGGACUAGGCUUGAAAAUUAGAUGGUGCAUCUGGGAGAUUGGUGUACUUAGCAAGGGUAUCUAUAAGGAUAGUAGCUGGAGGUAAAUAGGGGGAAAAGGAUCGCAGAUUACAUUAUGUUGCAGAAAACUCAGCAACGUUCUCAUACACAAAUCUGUGAAGAUGCAAGACAGACAAAAAUCCUGAUAACUUGUAACAUUACCCUACGGACUAACAAUUGUAAACUUAAAUUAUCCACAUGCACUUUGAUUAUAGCAUGUGACUACUACGUAGUUUUAUCUAGAGAAAGGACAUUCUUCUGGACUAAUCUAUAAUUCGUCCUUGGCAUCAGAAUCAUCUUUGGCAGCAGCUUCUUUGUCAUCAGUUUCAGCUUCAGGUUCCUCAACAUCCUCUUCUUCCUCAACUGCUGCAUCAGGGCUAACAUUUAAACUGCUCUUAACUGAGCUGUAGAUGCGGGAGGCAAAAUCCUUUGGGUCAUUGAGCAGGAAACCACUCUCCAGUAAUGCUGUUUGGU